GCCAGUGUGGCAUAGUGGUUUGAACAUUGGAUUAUGACUCUGGAGACCAGGGUUUGAAUCCCCGCUCAGCCA
Non-coding RNA from Phrynosoma platyrhinos (Desert horned lizard), 72 nucleotides. Lineage: Eukaryota; Metazoa; Chordata; Lepidosauria; Squamata; Phrynosomatidae. The record is from the annotation of a GenBank genome assembly.